GCCACUUUGGUUCAGUGGUUAGAAUGCCCAGACCGAUUUAGGGGGGAGACCGUGGGUUCGAUUCCCCGUGGUGGCG
Mycena latifolia is the source of this 76-nucleotide non-coding RNA. NCBI's taxonomy places the organism in Eukaryota, Fungi, Basidiomycota, Agaricomycetes, Agaricales, Mycenaceae. The record is from the annotation of a GenBank genome assembly.